Molecule: ribosomal RNA, 481 nt
Filed under: uncultured bacterium
Lineage: Bacteria
Description: partial 16S ribosomal RNA
Rfam family: Bacterial small subunit ribosomal RNA (bases 52-481)
Source: RNAcentral
GGGGGGGGGGGGGGGGGGGGGGGGCGGGGGGGGGGGGGAGGGGGGUGGGGGACGGGGGUGUUGGGAGGGAGGCCGGUAAUUCUUAGUGGCGGACGGGUGAGUAACGCGUGGGCCAACUGCCCUAGACAGGGGGCUAACAGCUGGAACCGGCUGGUUAGACCGCAUACGGCGGGUAAAUCGCAUGCUUUGAUCGUGAAAUGCGCAAUCAGGUAUAGGAAGGGCCCGCGUCCGAUUAGCCAGUUGGCAGGGUGAAAGCCUACCACAGCGACGAUCGGUAGCCGGACUGAGAGGUCGGACGGCCACAGUGGGACUGAGACACGGCCCAAACUCCUACGGGAGGCAGCAGUGGGGGAUAUUGCACAAUGGAGGAAACUCUGAUGCAGCGACGCCGCGUGAGUGAAGAAGUAUUUCGGUAUGUAAAGCUCUAUCAGCAGGGAAGAUGAUGACGGUACCUGACGAAGAAGCCCCGGCUAACUACGUG